Long non-coding RNA from Tachysurus fulvidraco (yellow catfish), 3593 nucleotides. RefSeq lists it as uncharacterized. Lineage: Eukaryota; Metazoa; Chordata; Actinopteri; Siluriformes; Bagridae. The transcript has 2 exons. The record is from RefSeq and is a predicted model, not a curated record.
UUAAGUUCUUGGAUUCAUUUAAAUAAGACAAAUCGCCAUGUUCAAUUGUGCGCCACGCUCCUUUACCUCGGGAAGCAACACUGCGCACACAGACCACGAGUUGGGUCCACCAGGAACAGCAAUUCACCCGAAGCAACACAUGGUUCCGAUGAUUUAAGGAAAUUUUAGACAUACGUAAAUACAUGUGUCAGGUAGCAAUACUGCCUGAGAGCCUGCUGCUCCAAACUCCCAACACCGAGAAGCGUUUUUUCCCCACCCGAGUUGAUCGGGCCACGCAGCGCUGGGGCCCCACUCUCCACUCCUUUUGUUGGCCCUAUUGUAAUGAGUGUGUGUUGGGAUCGGGGGCGUAAUGAGAGGGCUGCGACCCCCCGAUGGGGUGGAUUUGCUGUCCAAAGACCGUUAGACAGCGCCAGAAUGAAUGGGGGAGUGAAUGUCAUUGUUAUGCAGCGGGACAGCUCCUCCUUCGCGCUGGUUAAGACCGAGAGGCCGCACUGUCCAGAAACCGAGCUAGGAGAAAAACACUGCCUUCGAUUUCGCUACUUUUUCUCUUUCCCCUUGUCUCCGUCAUAUUUCCUAUGUGUUUCCGGACAAAUGAUGGCUGUUAGCUACUUUUGGGACCAGCACUGAAGGAGGUUUUCCCAGAGGAUCAUCUUCCGACAUACAGGAUUCAAUGUGUGAAGAUAUUUUACAAGAACCACUGAGUCUAGCUCCUAUCUGCAGAGCGUCUUUCUCAAGGACACUUCGGUGAUGAGGCUUUGGCUAACUGGGGAGAACGCGGCCCGGCCAAUGACGUCAUCACGUCCCCAUGUAAUCCUUUUGCGUUGAGCCCAAUCAGCAGAAGGCUGCGCGUGUCUGGGCCGGGAAGAGAGAACCUCUAAUCCGCGAGACUGGAUCAGAGCGGCUGAGAGAGAAAAAAACACCCACCCAGGGCUGGAGCAAAAAAAAAAAACGUUUGCCGAGGACGGGCGAGAUUAAAAAAGGAUGGAUCGGAGAGGACGUGGCCCAGUGCUGGUGGGGGUCGGUGGAGCGCGACAAUGCACGGAUGAAUUUAACCGAGGAUGCCGCAAAGGGGAGCCGAGCUUCAUGGAAGGGAAAGGCAAAUGAUCGUCGAGAAGACACAGGGCAUAGAAUGAACAUGGCAGUCAUAGUAUAAACGUCGUCGCGCUGCGUGAGGUUAUUAUCCUCAUAUAUCUUUUUUUUUUACCUUUUGUUUUGAGGCGCGUUUUAUUUACAGGAGCACGCGCGAUUAAUUUGAAGAGGAGCGCUGCUAUGCGUAGACCGACCAGGAGAGUGCAUUUGCAUAGACAAGCGGAGAGACACGGACAAAACGUCGUAUUCUUUCCCGGUACCGUAGAAUAUUUUGAAAUGACACCCUGUCCUUUUUCUUCUUUACAUCAUUUUUUAUCAUUAUGAACAAAGGAAAAGCAUCGGUAUUUUGAGAAAAUCUUGGACACAGAGACGCCAUCAAAGCAAACUCUUCUGAUAUCACGGAGCAUCGCGAUGCUGAGCGCGACAGAAAAUCUCUUCUCUUCCAUGACCUUGUACACUAUACGCUUCAUUUAAAUGCCCCUGCUUGGACUAAAAUGUGUCGUGAUAUUUCACUCCUUCUUUGUUUUGAAUGUUGCAGGAUGUGUGUUUGUAACGGGCAAUUGAUGCACUAGUCGGUUUGCGUCACUGCUGCGCAUGCAUUCAUACUAAAGUUAGAGAGAGAGAGAGAGAGAGAGAGAGAGAGAGAGAGAGAGAGAGAGAGAGAGAGAGAGAGAAGGGGGUGAUUUUAGGGGAGGGGACGAAACAGUGCACUCUGAUGUCCAUCCAAUUCCACGGAAAGCGCUCUGCUAGAGGCGGUGCUCGGAGCGCGAAGUUCGAGCACCUUGUAUUAUGUUGUGUGGUCGGCGAUAAACGGGAAGCUUGGACGGGUUCUUGCUCUGCGUGUUCACAGCGGACCUUGAUUUAAUGUCCAAACAAUUAAGGCACGCGGUGAAUGCCAAGAGAGGAAUCUCCUGAGCAUCUUGUUUCCUCCAUUCUAUCAUAUUCAGCGCGAGUUGACAGGCUUAAUGUGUACGACGGCUGUGACAGUCAUCAGCGUUUAAGCGCGCCUACUCAUGUUCAGCACUACUGCGGGACGAUAACAGGUUAUCAGCUUCAUUAGUGCAAGGCGUUUAGUAACAUAUCAAAAGGAUGGAUGUAGAAGGGGUUAUUUUCCUUUCACGUUCACAGGAACAGAAUUACAGGCCUUGAGCCAUUUGGUUGUUUGGCGCAACCUUUAAAUGCAGGCCCCAGUCUGCGUGACUAAAUGUGAUAUAGUUUAUGUAACCACAUCACAAACUAAGAAUGUAAAUUUAAGACAAUUAAUCAUGGGGUUUAAACGCAAGCUGCCUACUCGUAAGAAUCAGUCUUUAGUUUUAAACUAGCUUUCGCACAUAACAGACAGAUGUGUUUGCGUAAGCAGGCCUAGCUUUUUGUGGACUAGUAAAUACAUCCAGGCAUGUCUUCGUUUAAAAGAAUGCACACUGAUUAUAUUGAAUGAAUAUGUGUGCUGUAGUCAAUAUCACAGGCUACUCAUGAGACAAUCAAUCGACAUUAGCAUAUGUUGCAAUGUGACAAGUUUAAGCUUUCUCUAUGUGAGUGCGCCACCUAUAGAGUUAAUCAGUAACUCCUGUUUAGAAACACGCCUAAAUCUACUAACUUCCUAAACAGCAAUACAAGGAUCAGCUUUUUAGUGGGCUUUUUGUUUUAGCUUAUCGUAAAAUGGUUUCUAGGCCUAAAUGUUUGCUCAAAAAAUUUUGUGCAUUAACGAAGAGUAAACUGUAAAAGCGGACCAUGUCUAUGGGAAUGUAAUUACAGUAUCACGUUGCGCAGUGGCAUUACUUAAGAAGAGAUACUAGUGUAAAGGAAAAAUGAUCUGCUGGUUGUUUCAUACUUUUAAUGAGGCAGUAGCAGGUCAUUCAGUAUAAAUUGCCGCAUUUGUUGUUUAUGCCUGUCUUCCUUUAAGGCUUCUGCUUGUCCUACAUGGCACAGUCUGUUCCUAACAUCUUUGCUGAGGAACAGCAUGUUCCAGCCAAAUGCUGCUCCAGGUGGUGAAGUGACAAAGACAAAACAUGUUAGAGGCAAACAAUAGGCUAAAUACAGUGGAAGAAGUUACUUAUAUUACUUCAUACAGAUAUAUUGUGUAGUUGCGUAUUUUAUAACGCACCAAAUGGAUAAAUGUCAUAUGCAGACUACAUAUACGAAAAAGUCGUUAGGAUCUGGUAAUGUAUCAAUAACCAAAUCAUUACAGCUGAAAAAAAGAAGUUCGGGUAAUCCUAUGGGAAUGCAUUAAAAAUAGAAAAUGUCAUUUCGUUACUCUUAAGAUAAACAUUAGUUAUUAUCCACACAGGUCUGUCAUUGCGUUUUUUGCUCUUGUGCCUGUGUGUAAAUAAUGUGACAUUUCUAUUGUGAUUCAGAGUUGCAGAAUAGUGCGUUGUUAUUUUAGACCAAGUUAUUUAAUUAAAAAAGGAACUGGUAAGUAUCGUGCAAAACGAUAUUUCGACACAAGUGUUAUGAUUUGAUCCUAUGUCAUUGACUAACAAAUGCAAAUAAAUGUAUUAAUCUUU